UAAGUAGGUUUGAUCCUGGCUACAGGACGACGCUGGCGGCGUGCUUAACACAUGCAAGUCGAACGGUGAUCUCGGUGCUUGCACCGGGUGAUCAGUGGCGAACGGGUGAGUAACACGUGAGUAACCUGCCCCAGACUCUGGGAUAACCCCGAGAAAUCGGAGCUAAUACCGGAUACGAGACGCACAGGCAUCUGUAGCGUCUGGAAAGAAUUUCGGUCUGGGAUGGACUCGCGGCCUAUCAGCUAGUUGGUGGGGUAAUGGCCCACCAAGGCGACGACGGGUAGCCGGCCUGAGAGGGCGACCGGCCACACUGGGACUGAGACACGGCCCAGACUCCUACGGGAGGCAGCAGUGGGGAAUAUUGCACAAUGGGCGAAAGCCUGAUGCAGCGACGCCGCGUGGGGGAUGAAGGCCUUCGGGUUGUAAACCCCUUUCAGCAGGGAAGAAGCGAAAGUGACGGUACCUGCAGAAGGAGCGCCGGCUAACUACGUG
Molecule: ribosomal RNA, 492 nt
Filed under: uncultured Actinomycetales bacterium
Lineage: Bacteria; Bacillati; Actinomycetota; Actinomycetes; Actinomycetales
Description: bacterial SSU rRNA
Rfam family: Bacterial small subunit ribosomal RNA
Source: RNAcentral